RNAcentral lists this ribosomal RNA (93 nucleotides) under Sus scrofa (pig). The record is from RNAcentral. Lineage: Eukaryota; Metazoa; Chordata; Mammalia; Artiodactyla; Suidae.
GUCUCCAGCCGUACCACCCUGAAUGCGCCAUGUCUGCUCUCAUCUCAGAAGCUAAGCAGGGUCGGGGCCUGGUUAGGACUUGGGUGGGAGAUG